GAUGAACGCUGGCGGCGUGCUUAACACAUGCAAGUCGAACGAAGCGUCCCGCCCGAUGAAAUGGAGAGCUUGCUCAAAGUAGAAUCAAUUGGGAUGACUUAGUGGCGGACGGGUGAGUAACGCGUGGGUAACCUGCCUUACACAGGGGGACAACAGUUGGAAACGACUGCUAAUACCGCAUAAGCGCACGGUAUCGCAUGAUAUAGUGUGAAAAACUCCGGUGGUAUGAGAUGGGCCCGCGUCAGAUUAGCUAGUUGGUAAGGUAACGGCUUACCAAGGCGACGAUCUGUAGCCGGACUGAGAGGUCGGACGGCCACAUUGGGACUGAGACACGGCCCAAACUCC
RNAcentral lists this ribosomal RNA (345 nucleotides) under uncultured Lachnospiraceae bacterium. RNAcentral describes it as "bacterial SSU rRNA". It matches the Rfam family "Bacterial small subunit ribosomal RNA", at positions 28 to 339 of the family's 1533-position model. The record is from RNAcentral. Lineage: Bacteria; Bacillati; Bacillota; Clostridia; Lachnospirales; Lachnospiraceae.